AGCUUCUCUAUGGACCAUACGAAGCAGCCUCUGUUGGAAAAUUGAACUUGGAACCUGCUGCUUUUGGUGGAAAGUUUCCUGCACAGGUGAGCUUCAGAAUUUGCAAAGAUUGUUUUCCAUUGCCUGAGAGGUCCUUUAAACAUGCUAUCCAAGAUAACUAUCAGAAAGGAAAAUUUAAACAAGAACUAAAUGACCAGCAAGUAAAGAGUCUCUUGUCAUUGUUUCGUCCGCUUUUGCCUGCAUUAGCUCUUGUUCCUCCUAUAUCGCCUUGUGUAUCCAUGUCAUUGCCAGCCAUAGAGAAUCAGUUUCUGCCCCAAGCAACUGUGCCUUCACGAGAGGAUUCAUAUGUAGCUGGGAUACAACUUAGUCGUAACCAAUCAUUGUUGACUCCUCAACAUGCUCUACAUGAGGUACGAGGCCCACAACAUGCUUAUUAUGGAUCCUCAACGCAUAAGCAUCCAUCAGUGAAGCUACAAGAUAUGCAAGCUCCUAGAAUGCGUCAUUUGGAGGAUCCUUAUUUCGCUAGGAUGCAGCACAAUCAUGACCCACAAGUGUUGGCAACUCAAUAUAUUGAGCAGAGGGUCUUACCAUCUCAACCUGGUUCACAUGGAGCCAUGGUAAACAUGGGUUAUGCCCAUCAAGCUAUGGAACCACAAACUCUACCAAUUCGAAAUGCCCUGUACAAUUCCACAGAUGCUUCAUAUGGGGCUUUGCAACCUGCUUCAUAUGAAAACAUUGGUUAUGUCCAUCAAGCCAUGAAACCACAAACUCUACCUGUUCCAACUGCCCCAUGCCAUUCCACAGAUGCUCAACGGGCACACUUUCUUGGGUACCCAUACCACAGAUAUGGGCCUGGCGAGGAGAUGUUUCCGAAUGUUCAACACCUUGGCUCAGCAAAUGAGCAUUAUCAGUAACAAUCACAGAAGCAAGAAAUUGCUCUGCAUCAGGAAAAUGUUCAGAACUACAAUUACUUGCCUGCAACCACAAAACUGCACAAACAUCAAUAAUUGGAUGGCACUAAAGCAUCAACCGCUGGAUGGGCGGUGGGGAAUAUUCCUUUUCCUCCAUAUUCCUAUGUUGAGGUCACUUCAACACAUUGUCAGGCAAUUUGAGUUGAGAAGAGGCCAUAAUUUUGCUGGAAUAUUAUCGUACGAUUUGGCCAGUUACAUUUGCAUUGCAUAGUAAAAUUAAGAACUCCCAACAACCUUUAAUGAGAAUCUAAACGUUCACUGGCUUAUUCUGAUCAUUGUAAUUUUCCAUAUUCAUGAUAAUACCUAGAAGCUCUCAAUUAAUACCGACUGGAAGCUGGUGGAUUACAUGUCAUUUUAGUGGUAAAAUCCAACUGUAAUCCAAUAUUUGUUAUAUGACUCUCUCUUUCAAUGAUAUUGGUCAUUUUUGGUUGGAUUUUACCACUAAAAUGACAUGU
This 1426-nucleotide unclassified non-coding RNA is filed under the name Hevea brasiliensis (rubber tree). The record is from RNAcentral. Lineage: Eukaryota; Viridiplantae; Streptophyta; Magnoliopsida; Malpighiales; Euphorbiaceae.